RNAcentral lists this ribosomal RNA (433 nucleotides) under uncultured bacterium. RNAcentral describes it as "partial 16S ribosomal RNA". It matches the Rfam family "Bacterial small subunit ribosomal RNA", at positions 29 to 507 of the family's 1533-position model. The record is from RNAcentral.
AACGAACGCUGGCGGCAUGCCUAACACAUGCAAGUCGAACGAGACCUUCGGGUCUAGUGGCGCACGGGUGCGUAACGCGUGGGAACCUGCCCUUAGGUUCGGAAUAACUCCCCGAAAGGGGUGCUAAUACCGGCUAAUGUCUUCGGACCAAAGAUUUAUCGCCUUUGGAUGGGCCCGCGUUGGAUUAGCUAGUUGGUAGGGUAAAAGCCUACCAAGGCGACGAUCCAUAGCUGGUCUGAGAGGAUGAUCAGCCACACUGGGACUGAGACACGGCCCAGACUCCUACGGGAGGCAGCAGUGGGGAAUAUUGGACAAUGGGCGAAAGCCUGAUCCAGCAAUGCCGCGUGAGUGAUGAAGGCCUUAGGGUUGUAAAGCUCUUUUACCCGGGAUGAUAAUGACAGUACCGGGAGAAUAAGCUCCGGCUAACUCCAUG